GUUAAAGGAAUUUUAUAUCUUGAUGAUAAUAAUCAAUAAUCAAUUCGCCUUGACUAAUGCCCAAGGUUUGUAAGACAAUGGGUUAUAAUAAUUAGGCAAGGACUCAGCUUUCUGCAAAAGGUAUCUGUAGCUUUAUUUAGAGAACGUUCUGAGGUCAGGAUAACAAAACAGUCAUUAUAUAGUUCUUGCUUACUUACGCACAUGCAUUUACACACAAUCCGUUGGUGACCUGCAUCCCCCAUAAACUUCUCACACUGUUUAUCACUACCCAGAGCUCAGCCUGUUCUUUUCCCUCAAGGUUAGGAACUCUUUGAAGCUUUUACUCCCUUGACCAUCUGUCUCCUGGUGUCCCUCCUAAUUGCAUACACACAUUUCUUUCCCUCUCCAGUGGUUCCUGGACUUUCCGGAACUAAUCAGACUAAUCGAUCCCUAUCUUGAUCAUUACAUUGAUUAUUCAUUAAACCUGCUGUAUGACUAAUAAUUCAUCAUGGUUUAUUGAUUCAUUUACAUUUAUUAGAUAAUUCUCUUAUCAAUUCCACCCUUAAAUGAUUCAAUAAUUCACCAUGAUGAUCAGAUGCUAUAUGAGAACCCUACUAAUCAUAUGCUAUAUGUAAAUACAAUAAUCCUACGCUAUAUGGAAAUACAUAAUUGUGAAAUCACACGCUAUAUGGGAUUUAAUUGUGAUACAAUGAUUAAACAAAACCAAUACAUAAUUAUUCCUCCUAUACCCAUCAAUGACAGUCCUAGGCCUCUUUCCAAUUAUGACACUUCGAUUCAGGAUUUUCAUCAUAAUUUUCAUUAAAGGAACAGUCUAUCAAAACGUUGAAAAUUCAAACAAAACGUUGAAAAUUGUUUCAUCAAACAUUGGCUCCUCGUUAUCGAAAGAAACGGAGCCAUCUUCCUGGCCUGGAGGCCCGCAUUCGCCAUCCCACUGAUCGGAGCUCGGAAUCGGUCCAUAUCUCACCAACUGCUGCGUCAUCGAUCUCUCGAGAGUCCUGGUGAUUAAACCUCUCACACAUGGGACAAGACAACAUCCACACAACACAAACACACUCAUACAGGUGAAAGCAGCCCAUAAUACAGUUCUUACAACACUUUUCCAUUUCCCCAAACAUGGGAUAUGUUAUCAGGAAUGUACGUGUAGCGCUGAACCUAAUCAUUCUACCUACACUGCCCUCUUCUGCCAAUAACAUAUCGAGAGUCAGUCUAUUUUACCAGGUCAUGAGGGGGGUGGCGGAUAAUUGGUCAGAGAACAUCUUUACUGCAUCCCCGUUUUCAUUCAUGAAUCUCUGUUGAUUAUAAAAGAUGUCAUUAAUCCCAUCCACAUUUUUAUCUAUUGUCAACCACCAAAAUAAUGUAGUGUUAAAGCCUUCACAUAUUUGAUUCAUAGCUUUGUAUUCAUCUGGAACUUCCCUGAAGAUGCCAAUAGCAUCUAUCUAGACAAAGCUACUCCCAUCCUGGUCAAAACUACUCCUGUGCCUACUUUAGCCUCCUAUAACUGGCCUCUGAUGACUAACUCGAACUGGUUGGACCAAUAACCCCAGGGCGCAAGUUUCUAACCACCCUUUGUGGUAAUUUCUGUCGUAUGCGUCCUUUACUGGUACUAGCCCACCCUUCAUCAGUUAUAGGUGCUGUGAGGUUAAGAAUGUUCUAUUCAUCUCUCAAACCUAAGUCAGUCACAUUAACGAUUACUUUCAGCCAUUAAAAUCAUCUUAGUUCUCGGUGCCAUUCUUGUAUCUAUAACACUGGUAUUCAUCCGGAAUUUAGGUGAACCGAGGUGGGUUGGCUGAGUACUUCAAUCUGGCCAACCCCAAUUCCUGUACAGUUGUCUGCUUCCCCAGGAAUUUGUUUAAUGUUUACCUUAAAUUCUACAUCUUGAUCUUCUUUGAUUCCUUAUUCUGUAUGUCACUCAUCAGUGUAUUGUAUAGUUUAUCUUCUACUUCUUCUCAAUGACAACGGUAUCCUAUGAUUAGUACCAGAAGGUGGUGGAUCUGAAUGUAUCAGAAAGGUUACCAAAACUAUGAUGCAGCUCAGAGUCUCUACUCUUCCCAAAAACCGCCAACCCUCUCCUGCCCUUAGUCGAUCUGCUAGGUACCACCCCAUACUCACACCUCUAGGAGCACACACAGUGAUGAACGGUCGGGAUAGGAAAUCUUCGUUAAGGAGGUAACCCCCGGACCCUGUUGGUAUCGGUUCUUCUCCUAACUCUGUGUGUGAUCAGCAGGGUUCAUAUGUGUACAUACCUCCUUGCAGUGAGUAACGUGGACCCAAGUGACUCUUUCAGCUUUUCUAAUGGCAAAGGCAGUGGUUUAACAGAACCUGGUAUGGGCCUUCCCAACGGGGCUGCUUCCAGUUUUUUCUCCUCAGGGACUGGAUCCACACCCAGUCUCCUGGUUGGAUUGAGUGAAUCACCUUCUCCUGUAAUUCACCUGUUGGACACAAAAUCUUGGACAUACGGGUUUGGUUAACAAACAGUCUUCUCAUGUGCUCUGCUAGUAUUUCUUCAACUUCCAUGUCUACCUGUUCUGGUAUCUCUAACUCUGGCAUUCUAUAGGCUCUACCUGAUUAGCUAAACUGUCAUCCAUCAUUUAAAGAGAUGGCGCCUAGUAAACCAACUCUAGGGAUAAUAUCUGGACUUAAUAUUUUAGCUACCAUAAUCAUGUCCACCAAGUAAGUUGGGAACGCUUCUACCCAUUUGCUAUACUUAUCUAUUCUUGUUAAACACCCCUUCUUCCCCUCAAUUCGGAAUAGUUCAAUAAGUCCAAUUCCAAAUGUUGGAAUGGAUCUUCUUACAAUUUUUUAUUUUUUAUUUAACCUGUUUAGGAUAGGGGGCAGUAUUGACACGGCUGGAUAAAAAACAUACCCGAUUUAAUCUGGUUACCACUCCUACCCAGUAACUAGAAUAUGCAUAUACUUAUUACAUAUGGAUAGAAAACACCCUAAAUUUUCUAAAACUGUUUGAAUGGUGUCUGUGAGUAUAACAGAACUCAAAUGGCAGGUCAAAACCUGAGAGAUUCCUUUACAGGAAGUGGCCUGUCUGACCAUUUCUUGAACUUCUUUUCCAUCUCUAUCAUUUACUAAGGAUCUCUGCUCUAACGUGACACUUCCCACGUUGUCCAUAGGCGCUCAGAGCCCGGGAAAAAACAGAAUGUCGUCAUUCCAGCCCCAGGCUGAAACACAUUAUCGCCUUUCUCAAGUGGCCGAUCAAGGGACACUGUGCUUAUGCGCGUGACCCCGACCGCCCCCGCCUUUGGGAUUUUUUCCUCUGUUUGCCGAAAAGGAGAUUCCCUGUCGGAAUAUUAUCGCUUUUCUACGAGAAAAAUGUCGUAAAAAUUGAUUUUAAACAGCGGUUGACAUGCUUCGAAGUACGGUAAUGUGGGUGUCUAAAUAGCGAGCCCGUGAUGCCUGGGCUAUGUACUUAGAAUAUUGCAAAAUGUGCUUUCACCAAAAAGCUAUUUUAAAAUCGGACAUAUCGAGUGCAUAGAGGAGGUCUGUAUCUAUAAUUCUUAAAAUAAUUGUUAUGCUUUUUGUGAACGUUUAUCGUGAGUAAUUUAGUAAAAUGUUAGCGAAUUCCCCGGAAGUUUGCGGGGGGUAUGCUAGUUCUGAACGUCACAUGCUAAUGUAAAAAGCUGGUUUUUGAUAUAAAUAUGAACUUGAUUGAACAAAACAUGCAUGUAUUGUAUAACAUAAUGUCCUAGGGUUGUCAUCUGAUGAAGAUCAUCAAAGGUGAGUGCUGCAUUUAGCUGUCUUCUGGGUUUUGGUGACAUUAUAUGCUGGCUUGAAAAAUGGGUGUCUGAUUAUUUCUGGCUUGGUACUCUGCUGACAUAAUCUAAUGUUUUGCUUUCGUUGUAAAGCCUUUUUGAAAUCGGACAGUGUGGUUAGAUUAACGAGAGUCUUGUCUUUAAAUGGCUGUAAAAUAGUCAUAUGUUUGAGAAAUUGAAGUAAUAGGAUUUUUAAGGUUUUGAAAAUCGCGCCACAGGCUGGCAGUGGCUGUUACGUAGGUGGGACGAAUUCGUCCCGCCUAGCCUAGAGAGGUUAAGUAAUUAUCCUCUAGGCCAUCACUCUUUCCUAACUACUCUACUAUACUUCCCUCCCCUUGAUACAUUGCUUAGCCUAUGUAUCAAUAUUGCUGCGUAUCCAUAUAAUGUCUUUGGUAGGAUAAGUAAAUAAUCCUUCUGUCAGACCUUCUCUUAUAGGAUGCCCCCUUUCAUUUUCCACAUGUCCAAUUCUCCCUGGGGCCUUCAUCCUCGGCUAUUCUGUAACAAUUCUCUGUCAAGUGUUUUAUCCUCUUUAAGAUUUAUCUAUGCAGCUUUGUAUGGUUUUAAAUGUUCAUGUGCUUGUCUGUGUAAAUAGUAACUUUUCUCUCCUUUCUUAUUUCACCGGUUCUAGUCAAUGCUACUAUUUCGGCCUACUGUGCAGAAUAGUGUCUGGGCAAUGGUUCAGUGUCUAACACCUGAAACCUACUAAGCCCUUUUAGUUAGGGUAACAAUUACUUUCAACAAAAUGAUACUAAUUUUCUCCUAGCGAAUUUACCAGACAUAAACUUAAAAUCAAAACUAAAAUGCAUGCCUGCCAAUGGAGCCGUUAGUCUCUCCAUGAAUUAAUUUCCUAGAGCUUAGUGAACCAAAUUCUCUUCCUAUCUACUCCUGCUGGCCCCCCUCCUUUCUUCCUGCUACUCCCCAACCCUCAAGGUUUCAGCAGUGCAGGGGAGGAUCUCUCUGUCUGCCCUUCUAUCUGUCUCCAGCUUUUUCUCAUAAUAUGGUUGUUUCCAAAUAUUGACUAAAUGUCUCAUUGUCUCCUUGGUUGCACUCCUGAACUUUUUGAAAAAUCAACCUCUCUAGAUAUUGCAUAUCUACUUAAAUUUAUCUCGAUACCCUCAAUAAUCCUGGAUCACCUACAGAUGUCAUAUAUCCCUGUCCUGUUGACAUAAGUCUAUCAUUAUUAAACUUAUUCACAACAAAAUAUAGUAAUACUAGUAUAUCAAUUCCACAGCCUUGUUGUGUUAAAUCUCUUACACUGAAUUCAACAACAGCUGACUUCCUAAGGGAAAAUAAACGUAUCUAGAUCAUGUAAAAAAAAUACCCCUGCUACUGGUCAAAAUAUUUUCAAAUCACAUAAUCAGAUCAAAAUGACUAAUCUGAUUUACUCCACCAAGAAAAAUUAUUUUACCUUUAUUGUUCUAGGAAAAUAGACUUAAGGAAGCCUACCCUUAGUCUAAGGCUUUGCCCUUUUAGUCCUAUCAUUGGUUCAAAUUAUCAAUUGUGUCUAAGAGCUUUAACUCCAUCAUAAUAUCACCAAUGACCUUAAAUUCACCAUCCAAAUGGCUUUUCAAUGUGGCUGAUCAGACCACACAGGAAAAGUCACCAGAUGUCAAAAGUCAUACCACCCUUUCAGAACCGUGUUUCUUACUACAUUAAACAAAUUAAGGCUUAGAACUUCAUCUACAUUUUGUAUCCCAGGUUCCCAGAACAUUCCCUAUCAAAAGAAUUUCAUGUGUUUAUUAAAACUCAGAAAACAAAACUUCCAAAAUGCCAUGUGUGUAUACCCCUUUAAGAUAUCAUGUCCCUAGGAUUUUUUUAUUUAUUUAUUUUCCCAAAGAGAGCUAAGCGCUUCUUUUUCCAUAAAAUAACCACUUGGUCAGCAUUUCAUCCUACCACCCUGAUUCAAAAACCCCAAAGUUGACUAUAAACAAAACCUAAUAAUACUUAUAAUUCCAUUGUACUCCCUCCAAUCAUUAGUUUUAAACUUCCUCAAUGGUUUAUGUGAUUGAACAUGCCUUUCUGUGGGCGCCUGACCUUUUUCUCUCUGUAUUUGUCUCGACCCCCUCUCUGACAUCUCCUGUCUUUGUUAUUUUUGCAAUCUCGGUGAUUAUGGCCUACUUUAUUGCAGUGUUUACACGGCUCCUCACAUUCUCUAGCAAAAUGUCCUGUCUCGCCACAAUUGUAACAUCUAUUUCCCCCUUUCUCUCCUGCCUUGCUAUUUUUUCCUCUUUUGUCACCUCUACCAUUCCCUGCAAUCUCUCCUAGAGUGGCCAUCAGAUAUUCUGCUCCUUUCCUUUCCUUCUUCUCUUUCUCCCCUUUGCCAAGUUGCUCAUAGUGUACAGCAUAUCUCUUUACUUCCCUCAGAUCUGCUAGCCCCCACCCUACGAGGUUCUGUUUAAUGGCGCGGUUUCGACCUAUUUUAUUGCAGUGUUUACACAGAACCUCACAUUCUCUAGCAAAAUGACCCGGUUUGUUACAGUUAAAGCAUCCAUCUCCCCCUUUCUUUUGUCUAUUCCUAUCCGGACUUUGGUUAUGGUAAACGAGUCUACUGAGGGCUCUGGGUUGUGCAGCACCACCAACACGCUCUCUACCCCUAGUUAUCAUCUUUCUCUCUCCCUCCGUUUCUAUCCACUUUUUCAAUAAAGUGGCUAAAUCCUGUCCAGCUACCUGUGUCUCUUCCUCUCUACCUCCCUCGGCUCCCUGAGGACCAGCAUAUGGGGGAGGGGGUAUAGGUACGGGCGGCACUGGAUGUGGUAGCCUCCGUAUCACUACCACCACCUCGUCAUCUGGGUUCUCCCGCCAUCCCUGGUCAACCAGGGAGGGGUAUAAUUCGGGUUCAGAUGGUGUCUCUGUGGGAGCCGUGGGAGUCCUCUCUGUCUGCUCCUGGCUACCCAAACAUUCAUUUUUAGUAACUCCCUUACUUUUGGCCCCCUCCGCUCUCUUUCUAGCUUCUGCCAGCCAAACCCGAGCAGUGUCAAGGCCCUCUGUGCGCUGCUUCUCUGUCUUACCCCCACUGACCUUAUGUAUUUGUUUUACCAUUAAUUGCAAUCUUUCAACAUUCAGACAUCCAUCAAAAUUGUAUUUCUUUCUCCAUUUCGGCCCAAAAUAAAUGUUCCUCUUAUCUUUUCCCAGCAUAAAACGUUCAUCUCCCGUCAAUACCGGGAUUUCCUUAGAGGAUUUACUACCCAUGUUGUUUUUUUAAAUUGUUUUAAAGUACACUCGUAUUUAUUCUGCUUCUUCUCCCAACCAAGAGUUUUAGAAAUAUUAUUCGUAAGAACCAUAAACUAUCUUUUAUUCAUAUGUGCUUUAAUUUAUACAACUUCAAACCAAAUACAAUUAGUGUCUACUCGUUGUUAAUCUUAAUGUGUAUGCUAUUUUACCGUUAUUAACCUAGAAUUUGGGGAAUAAUCAUUCGCAUGCUAUUUUACAAAUUGCUUCUAUCUCAUCGCUCAAAAAGGACAAACGGCUUUUAUCUUGCGCCUGUUGAGUCUAGCAAUAUGUUUUCGUUAUGAUUUUAACAAUGUGUUUUCGUUAUUAAACCUAUAAUUUGGGGAAUAAUUAUUCGUACGCUAUAUUACAAAUUGCUUGUAUCUCAUCGCUCAAAAAGGACAAACGGCUUUUAUCUUGCACCUGUUGAUUCUAGCAAUAUGUUUUCGUUAUUAACCUUCUAUUCGCAAUAUAGAGUUGUUCUGCUAGAAUGAUUAUACGUAUCUAUCCUAACCCGGUCUUUAUCUCGCUCAUAGACAAACACUGCAACCCGUUUUAUUUUUAGGUUUGUACUGUCUGUCUUUUUCUCGCGAUUUAUUGACAGAAUCCGCCUCACACGCAAUCCCUCAUCCCAGCAUAGUUACUCUAUCUCUCUCGAAACUUUAUCUACAGCGGGGACUGUCGAUCAGACAUUAGGUCGCAUACGUAUGCAACUAUAAACUACUUUCCAGGGGUCGUAAAGCCCUAGUUAACAGCCUAUUUAUCUGUUGCUUCAUGUAACUGUUGACACCAAUAUCUGUUUCUCACUCCGCCAUAUUAGGUCUCACUUCACCCAUAGAUAUCAGACCCAAAGCCGUAUUUAGGUACCGACUAUCCCCUUAUGGUUUUUUGACCCUUGUGCUACGUUAUCAGGUCUCACCACAAGCCCUAGUUUAGUUUUAUGCAGUGGCCACAGUUGCCCAGGGUCGAUUUCGGACCCUGCGUCGUUUUCGAAUUCGUCGUUUUGAAUUUACAACUAAUUCCUAACUUCCAUCCGCGCAGAAUACUUGAUUCCCUUUAAAACCGAUUUUUCUCCACGUGAACUUCUGAAGCCAGGUUACCAGCUAUAACAUUCACCAAAUUCAGCGUCUUACACCCAGAGUACAUUAAAAUCCUCUACAUCAAUGAGAUUUGGAAUUUACAACUGAUUCCUGUCUUCUAUCCGCGCAGAAUACUUGAUUCCCUUUAAAACCGAUUUUUCUCCACACAACCUUCUGAAGCCAGGUCACCCGCUAUAACAUUCAUCAAUCUCAGCGUCUCACACCCAGAGUACCUUUCACUCACAACAAUCGCUUUUGCCUUACACUCUCAACAAUCGCUUUUGCCUUACAUUCACAACACUCGCUUUUGCCUUUCAUUCACAACAAUCGCUUUCGCCUUACACUCUCAACAAUCGCUUUCUCAUCAAAUGCCAACACCCAAUUGUGUCCCUUAUUCCAUCAUGCAAUGCAGCCAUACAGGUGUAUUUCCCAUUUCAACAUACAAUGCCGACAUACAGGUGUAUUUCAUACAAUGCAGACACACAGGUGUAUCACCAACACCCAAAUGUGUCCCUUAUUCCAUCAUGCAAUGCAGACAUACAGGUGUAUUUCUCAUUUCAUCAAGUAAUGCAGACCUACAAUCGCUUCCUCACCAUGCAAUGCAAACCUAUAGGUAUAUCACAAAUUUCCCUAUGCAAUACAAACCUAUAGGUAUGUCACUCACCCCUUAUUUAAUGUAAUCAUACAGGUGCUAUUCCCCAAAAGUAUGAAUAAAGCUUACUAACCUUAUAAUUUGCAGCUGAGGUUUUCAAUGUUCGUUGAAUCUCGUCACCACCUCUGUCGCGUACCAAUUUGCCACCGGCCUGUAAAGAACCCACAGAAAAGGGCCAGGUCUUUGAUUUACGGAUAUUUCAUCCGCCCGUGCACGGUUUCGGUGUCUCCUUGGGACGACAGCGGCAGUUUGAAAUCCGGCUCGAAUAGGACCAAUUGUUAAAGGAAUUUUAUAUCUUGAUGAUAAUAAUCAAUAAUCAAUUCGCCUUGACUAAUGCCCAAGGUUUGUAAGACAAUGGGUUAUAAUAAUUAGGCAAGGACUCAGCUUUCUGCAAAAGGUUUCUGUAGCUUUAUUCAUGAGAACGUUCUGAGGUCAGGAUAACAAAACAGUCAUUAUAUAGUUCUUGCUUACUUACGCACAUGCAUUUACACACAAUCCGUUGGUGACCUGCAUCCCCCAUAAACUUCUCACACUGUUUAUCACUACCCAGAGCUCAGCCUGUUCUUUUCCCUCAAGGUUAGGAACUCUUUGAAGCUUUUACUCCCUUGACCAUCUGUCUCCUGGUGUCCCUCCUAAUUGCAUACAUACAUUUCUUUCCCUCUCCAGUGGUUCCUGGACUUUCCGGAACUAAUCAGACUAAUCGAUCCCUAUCUUGAUCAUUACAUUGAUUAUUCAUUAAACCUGCUGUAUGACUAAUAAUUCAUCAUGGUUUAUUGAUUAAUUUACAUUUAUUAGAUAAUUCUCUUAUCAGCAGGGCAGUACGUAUUUCCUCUCUUACAUCUGCAAGCAGAGUCUGAACAUCAGACAGGAUGGCAUUGUCUCCCUCAAUCCGUGCAAUGGCUACUGCUAUAGGUUUCAGGAGUUUCAGGCUGCUUACCACUCUCUCCCAAAAUACAUCAUCCAGGAGGAUCCUCUUGAUGGGGCUGUCCAUAUCGGCAGACUGUGAGAUGGCCAUUUCUUGGAGAGACUCCUUCCCCUCCAGGAGACUGUCAAACAUGAUGGCAACACCACCCCAACGGGUGUUGCUGGGCAGCUUCAAUGUGGUGCUCUUAUUCUUCUCACUUUGCUUGAUGAGGAAGAUUUCUGCUAUAACUUGAUGACCCUUCACAUACUAACCAUUUCCUU
RNAcentral lists this long non-coding RNA (9884 nucleotides) under Salmo salar (Atlantic salmon). Its description in RNAcentral is "lncRNA (ENSSSAG00000103851.1)". Lineage: Eukaryota; Metazoa; Chordata; Actinopteri; Salmoniformes; Salmonidae. The record is from RNAcentral.